This 497-nucleotide ribosomal RNA is filed under the name uncultured bacterium. RNAcentral describes it as "partial 16S ribosomal RNA". It matches the Rfam family "Bacterial small subunit ribosomal RNA", at positions 28 to 507 of the family's 1533-position model. The record is from RNAcentral.
GACGAACGCUGGCGGCGUGCCUAAUACAUGCAAGUUGAGCGAUGAAGAUUGGUGCUUGCACCAAUUUGAAGAGCAGCGAACGGGUGAGUAACGCGUGGGGAAUCUGCCUUUGAGCGGGGGACAACAUUUGGAAACGAAUGCUAAUACCGCAUAACAACUUUAAACAUAAGUUUUAAGUUUGAAAGAUGCAAUUGCAUCACUCAAAGAUGAUCCCGCGUUGUAUUAGCUAGUUGGUGAGGUAAAGGCUCACCAAGGCGAUGAUACAUAGCCGACCUGAGAGGGUGAUCGGCCACAUUGGGACUGAGACACGGCCCAAACUCCUACGGGAGGCAGCAGUAGGGAAUCUUCGGCAAUGGACGAAAGUCUGACCGAGCAACGCCGCGUGAGUGAAGAAGGUUUUCGGAUCGUAAAACUCUGUUGGUAGAGAAGAACGUUGGUGAGAGUGGAAAGCUCAUCAAGUGACGGUAACUACCCAGAAAGGGACGGCUAACUACGUA